RNAcentral lists this ribosomal RNA (516 nucleotides) under uncultured bacterium. Its description in RNAcentral is "bacterial SSU rRNA". It matches the Rfam family "Bacterial small subunit ribosomal RNA", at positions 29 to 517 of the family's 1533-position model. The record is from RNAcentral.
AACGAACGCUGGCGGCGUGGAUAAGACAUGCAAGUCGAACGCUGAUUCCGGGGUAGCAAUAUUCCGGGGUUGGAGUGGCGCAAGGGUGCGUAACACGUGGGUAAUUUGCCAUGAAAACUGGGAUAACUUGCUGAAAGGCGAGCUAAUACCGGACGUGAUGGGCGGAGGGCAACCUCUGCCUCUUAAAGUUGGGGACCGCAAGGCCUGACGUUUCAUGAUAAGCCCGCGGCCUAUCAGCUAGUUGGUGAGGUAAUGGCUCACCAAGGCUAAGACGGGUAGCUGGUCUGAGAGGACGACCAGCCACACUGGAACUGAGACACGGUCCAGACACCUACGGGUGGCAGCAGUCGAGAAUUUUUCUCAAUGGGCGAAAGCCUGAAGGAGCGACGCCGCGUGGGGGAUGAAGGGUUUCGAUCCGUAAACCCCUGUCAUUUGCGAACAAACCUUUCCGGAUAACACCUGGAGAGCUGAUUGUAGCGAAAGAGGAAGGGACGGCUAACUCUGUGCCAGCAGCCG